Molecule: ribosomal RNA, 429 nt
Filed under: Bacteroidota bacterium
Lineage: Bacteria; Pseudomonadati; Bacteroidota
Description: Bacteroidetes bacterium partial 16S ribosomal RNA
Rfam family: Bacterial small subunit ribosomal RNA
Source: RNAcentral
UAGGGAAUCUUCCGCAAUGGACGCAAGUCUGACGGAGCAACGCCGCGUGAGUGAAGAAGGAUUUCGGUUCGUAAAACUCUGUUGUUAGAGAAGAACAGCGCAUAGAGUAACUGUUAUGCGUGUGACGGUAUCUAACCAGAAAGCCACGGCUAACUACGUGCCAGCAGCCGCGGUAAUACGUAGGUGGCAAGCGUUGUCCGGAUUUAUUGGGCGUAAAGCGAGCGCAGGCGGUCAAUUAAGUCUGAUGGGAAAGCCCCCGGCUCAACCGGGGAGGGUCAUUGGAAACUGGUUGACUUGAGUGCAGAAGAGGAGAGUGGAAUUCCAGGUGUAGCGGUGAAAUGCGUAGAUAUAUGGAGGAACACCAGUGGCGAAGGCGACUCUCUGGUCUGUAACUGACGCUGAGGUUCGAAAGCGUGGGUAGCAAACAGG